Molecule: ribosomal RNA, 438 nt
Filed under: uncultured bacterium
Lineage: Bacteria
Description: bacterial SSU rRNA
Rfam family: Bacterial small subunit ribosomal RNA
Source: RNAcentral
AACGCGAAGAACCUUACCUGGGCUAGAAUGCCUCUGACCGGCGUAGAGAUACGCCUUCCUGGGUAAAACCAGGCAGAGUGCAAGGUGCUGCAUGGCUGUCGUCAGCUCGUGUCGUGAGAUGUUGGGUUAAGUCCCGCAACGAGCGCAACCCUUAUCAAUAGUUGCCAGCGGUUCGGCCGGGCACUCUAUUGAGACUGCCGUUGACAAAACGGAGGAAGGUGGGGAUGACGUCAAGUCCUCAUGGCCUUUAUGUCCAGGGCUACACACGUGCUACAAUGGCGAGUACAAAGCGCUGCAAACCUGCAAAGGGGAGCCAAUCGCAAAAAGCUCGUCUCAGUUCGGAUUGGAGUCUGCAACUCGACUCCAUGAAGCUGGAAUCGCUAGUAACCGCAGAUCAGCAUGCUGCGGUGAAUACGUUCCCGGGUCUUGUACACACCG